GAGCAAGGACCCUAUGGCAGCUUUAAUUAACCGACCCAAAGAGACCCAUUAAUUUCACCCGCCGGGAACAACAAACCUCUAUAUGGGCCGACAAUUUAGGUUGGGGUGACCUCGGAGAACAGAACAACCUCCGAGUGAUUUAAAUCAAGACUAACCAGUCGAAAGUCUUACUUCACUUAUUGAUCCAAAAGUUUGAUCAACGGAACAGGUUACCCA
Molecule: ribosomal RNA, 216 nt
Filed under: Puma concolor (puma)
Lineage: Eukaryota; Metazoa; Chordata; Mammalia; Carnivora; Felidae
Description: partial 16S ribosomal RNA
Source: RNAcentral